Molecule: small nuclear RNA, 70 nt
Organism: Dipodomys ordii (Ord's kangaroo rat)
Lineage: Eukaryota; Metazoa; Chordata; Mammalia; Rodentia; Heteromyidae
Source: Ensembl
GUGCUCGCUUCAGCAGCACAUAUACUAAAAUUGGAACGAUACAGUGAAGAUUAGCAUGGCCCCUGUGCAA